Molecule: long non-coding RNA, 2182 nt
Organism: Triticum aestivum (bread wheat)
Lineage: Eukaryota; Viridiplantae; Streptophyta; Magnoliopsida; Poales; Poaceae
Exons: 2
Source: RefSeq, a predicted model, not a curated record
UUCUCCGACCUCUGCUCUCUCACGAGGCGGCGAACCCUAGCUGCCCCCAUCGCUGCCAGAUCCUAUUGCUCUUCCCCACCCCCUACGCCAGUGAGUUCCCGCCUCCCACCUCGUCCGACUCACCUUCUCAUGCUCCACUAAUUCGAUCGCGUCCUGCCCUCCCCUUCGUGUCCCAGCAGAUUAUCUGCGCCACCACGACGUCGAUCCCCCCAGCCGCCCACGACUCCGCUGCCUCCUCCUGUCACUUUUUUGUGCUGUGCAAAGGGGAGAUGAAGAUGAGAGGGCAAACGACCCCGAGAAUAGGAGGGCAAAUUUAACUAAUACAAAGCAGAGGCUUGGAACGCCAUGGACAUGUGCUUGUGUUGGCUUGAUGCCACUUCGCUACUGCACGUUUUGGCAUAGUGGAAUCUCACCUUCCGCGUUGCCAGAUGUUCGCGUGGGCGCCAGUGCCAUCCCCUCACUGACGCUCUUGCGGCAACAACGGGUGUUGGUCUGCUGGUCGCCUCAACAAACAACGGGCAUUGGUCCGAUUGUUGCCUCAACGAGCAAAAUGUUUUGUACUCAUUGCUGCAGAUUUUCCUUGCACACUCAAUGUUUGUACUCCAUCUGAUGUUGUUUCCGCUCUUAAUUUGCUGCAGGUACUUUCUCUCAGGUGCAGGAAACUGGUUCUGUUGUAUUGGUUCAACGAGUUCCUCGAGGCUGGCUCUAAGUUUUUGAUUGCAAAGGUCAGGUCAGUUAAAGUGGAAUGUCGUAUCCUAUCCAACAACCAAGUAUUACCUUCAUACGAUUGCUUAGUUUCCAUGGUUUUUGUGUUCAUAGUGACUCAUGCCAUGCUACUGCUGGAUAUCAUUGUUGUUGUAUAUGAACCAGGUCGAAUAGGCCGGUAGAUCCAUUUUGCAUAUGCAAAAUGUGAGCAUUUUGUUGUAAAUCUUCCCAAACACUCUUAAUUUAUUUCCAAUAUUAAAUGAUAUAUCUACUGUUUGUACAGAUUUGCAAAGAAGAGAGAAUUAUUGAAUAUCUGCUGCUUCCAGUGUAUGCCUGAUUGUGGAUAUUUUUUAGCAAUUGGAUAGUUUCUAGAAGUUCUGAAUUGAAUAUGAUGGUAAUAAAUUUCUAUGUGCAUGCGUAAUGACAAUGUAUUUUACUAGAGGUUUGAGAAAUUGAAUUUACCAUUCUGACAAAUACAUAUUAAGGAUAGUCGUACUUCUUGAAAAUCGAGCAAGGUUUAAGAAAAUCUCGAUCCUCUGAGAAUUAGCAGAACAAUUACCUCAGUGUGCAAAUUAGUAUGAUGAUCAUUGAUCAGAGGUACAUGCAUACAUGAUUCUGCUUAUAAUAUUGUCUAUGUCUGGAUUUCAGAUUUGGAAAUUCUGUCACCUGUCAUGAAGUAGUGUACGAUGGCAAAGCAUAGCUUUCCAUUUAUCUACCCUGGCUGGGUUAAUCCUUACAAUCGUGUUUCUCCGCUUUAACUUAUAAUGCUUGCAUUUUUUUUGCAAAUUUCCGUUUUAGGUCACUGCCAUUCAUCCACUCAAUAAAGGCUAGCUGUUGUUCCGUGAUCAAGGCUUAAUUUUGAAAUGAGUUUUGGAAUAUUCAUAGUCGAGUGGAAAGUAUAAAUCGAAUCGAGCUAGAGUUGGACACAUACAAUUGUAAGAAACUAAGAAGACCUAUCAGCUUAUUAAUUUUCUUUUCGAUUAUUACGUUAUUAUUGAUUGGUGUACCUCUUUUUUGAAAAGGAAAAGGAAAACUUUUGUGAAACAAUUUAUUUCAUUCUAUUUUAUAUUUCUCUAUAGUUUGUCCUCCAAUUAUGCUUGGUCUUUAUUCCAUGUAUUUACACAUGAUUUUUGAUUAUUCUCCCAUAAAAAAGGAUGCCUUCAUGGUCAGAGCCUUGCCAUUCACUCCACGAUUAGAGGGUGCACUUCUGCAAAUGGUCAACGACCUUUUGCAAAUGGUGCCAAAUAUGGAAUUUUCUCCAAUCAUCACAUAUUUUCUGCUUUGUGCUCUCAUGUAUGUGCGGAAAUUAGAAGAGGUAUACAAAUCUUACACUAUAGCACUUGAUACAAUGUUUCUUUCCAUCGCAACAUUGAAGUGUGCGGGCUUCACUUCCAUAUUGAUGUUAUGUAAGUGUCCAGUUUGAGAAACAGUGUUUUCUUAUUUUUAUUCAAGGUAAUGGAAGUAGAUAUGCCAUGUU